Regulatory RNA element from Paenibacillus sp., 113 nucleotides. It matches the Rfam family "epsC RNA". NCBI's taxonomy places the organism in Bacteria, Bacillati, Bacillota, Bacilli, Caryophanales, Paenibacillaceae. The record is from Rfam.
AGGUCAUGUCUACUGUACCUCUAUCAUGGUAGACACUCGGCUGCACUGUGGGCGUGAAGACGCCUUAGACGUGAAUCGUCAAUGGUGCGGCGUGAGGCAGGGUUAGAUGCCCU